Long non-coding RNA from Aedes aegypti (yellow fever mosquito), 375 nucleotides. RefSeq lists it as uncharacterized. The record is from RefSeq and is a predicted model, not a curated record. The transcript has 2 exons. NCBI's taxonomy places the organism in Eukaryota, Metazoa, Arthropoda, Insecta, Diptera, Culicidae.
GGGCCGAUAUGAUGGCCAUAUUUUGUUGCCUCUUAUCGAACGUACGCAGCGCACACCAAUACUAUUACGCUAUAAGCAAUGCCGCUGGUGUGAAUGUGGGAAAAUGAACCUAGGCACACAAAAUCUACGCAUAUUGUUCGUUAUUAUUUCCAUAGCGUAGCUCGCGGUUUAAAAUAAAAAAGAACAAUUAUCACGAUGAUAACAUUUCGCAUCACAAGUUUCCAACCAAUAUCGAUGCGCGGGAUAGAUGGCUAAAUGCCAUUGCGAACGUGGAUUAAACCACUGAUAAGUAAACCGAAGACUUUCAAUGCACAUUCUCACAUACCAGCUUUGCGCAGUUUUUGUCUUGUUUGGCGCAUUUUGUACCAUUUUCAC